Molecule: long non-coding RNA, 1021 nt
Filed under: Monodelphis domestica (gray short-tailed opossum)
Lineage: Eukaryota; Metazoa; Chordata; Mammalia; Didelphimorphia; Didelphidae
Description: lncRNA (ENSMODG00000045237.1)
Source: RNAcentral
GAUACUAUAUAUUAUAAAUAAAUUAUAAAUAUAUUUCUUUAUUUCCCACUCCCCUUGCAACAUACCUUCUGUAUUAGUGAGGAGGACUUUAAAGAAGAGGAACCAAUGUUUAGCUAUUUGAGGGAUUGAAUACAACGUGACAUUUCCUCCCAUUUUCUCCAAGCUGAGCUGUUACCAAUGGAGUCAGUCUAGCUAGACUAAAGGAUUAUUGACAAUGUUUUUGAAAAUGUGUGAUGGUAACCAAGAUUACAAGGGAAACAAUUUGGGGAAAAGAUUUUGCUACAAAUUUCUCAGAGCCCCAUGGAAAUGAAGGACUCUGUAAGGAGCUGCCUAUCACUGAGCAUGAUUUGAAGAUUUCUGUUUCCUUUUUGCAAUGAUCCUGAGAGUAUCACCAAGUCAUUUGAUGGGAGCUGAGAAUUACCAAGUCCAGUUCGGUGUCUUCCUACUUACCAGUGUAAGGGCAGCUCUCAGGCUAAGGACAAAGCUUUUGUAUGUUCUAAAGAAGUCAAGGCUUUCUGAAAAUGAGGUGAAUUUGGUAGAAAAGAAAGAACACCAGAUUUGGAGACAGAGGACUGGGAUUCAAAUUCUGAAUCUGUUACUACUACAUGCUACUAAAAGCCAUUUAAGCUCUGGCAAUAGUACUAUUGGAUAGUCACAUUUUUUUUUUUGAUCAACCCCAUACCAUUGAUGUCUCCCAUUGUGAUAUGUUUUUCAUGUAUGUCACACACAUUACAUAUGUAAUUUUUCUAGUUAUUAGGCCUACAUUUUUUUUUUACUACAUUACGCUACUGAAGAUUUCUUGCAUAGUGAUCUUGAUAUUCAGUAUUUUGAUUUGUGUUUUCCAAAGGAAACUUUUAGGGCCCAAAUCAAAUUUUACUUUUUGACUAUAUUAAAAUCAUUUAAUUUUAGCCACAAGUGUUUAAUGCUGUGCUAACCAAAAUCAUACUUGUGAAAUGAAUUGUAUAUUUUUAAUGUACUAAAAGGUUUAAACAAAAUAAAACUAAUUUUAAAAAGAAAAAAC